CCUCUUGCCAUCGGAUGUGCCCAGAUGGGAUUAGCUUGUUGGUGGGGUAACGGCUCACCAAGGCGACGAUCCCUAGCUGGUCUGAGAGGAUGACCAGCCACACUGGAACUGAGACACGGUCCAGACUCCUACGGGAGGCAGCAUG
Molecule: ribosomal RNA, 145 nt
Filed under: uncultured bacterium
Lineage: Bacteria
Description: partial 16S ribosomal RNA
Rfam family: Bacterial small subunit ribosomal RNA
Source: RNAcentral